Molecule: non-coding RNA, 24 nt
Filed under: Arabidopsis thaliana (thale cress)
Lineage: Eukaryota; Viridiplantae; Streptophyta; Magnoliopsida; Brassicales; Brassicaceae
Source: RNAcentral
UACUGCCACUGUCAUCCGCUGCAG